UACUCGAGUGGCGAACGGGUGAGUAACACGUGGGUGAUCUGCCCUGCACUCUGGGAUAAGCCUGGGAAACUGGGUCUAAUACCGGAUAGGACCAUGCUUUAGUGUGUGUGGUGGAAAGUUUUUUCGGUGUAGAAUGAGCCCGCGGCCUAUCAGCUUGUUGGUGGGGUAAUGGCCUACCAAGGCGGCGACGGGUAGCCGGACUGAGAGGUUGGUCGGCCACAUUGGGACUGAGAUACGGCCCAG
This 243-nucleotide ribosomal RNA is filed under the name uncultured Actinomycetales bacterium. RNAcentral's name for it is "partial 16S ribosomal RNA". It matches the Rfam family "Bacterial small subunit ribosomal RNA", at positions 88 to 334 of the family's 1533-position model. The record is from RNAcentral. Lineage: Bacteria; Bacillati; Actinomycetota; Actinomycetes; Actinomycetales.